Molecule: long non-coding RNA, 1298 nt
Organism: Catharus ustulatus (Swainson's thrush)
Lineage: Eukaryota; Metazoa; Chordata; Aves; Passeriformes; Turdidae
Exons: 4
Source: RefSeq, a predicted model, not a curated record
UCCAGCUAGGAGACAUCUAGUUCCAGCUGGUUAGAGCUGCUUGCAUGUCUUACCUCCUCCCCCUCCCUCUUCCAUAACUCGUGAAUCCAUCUUACCUAGGGACAGAAAGAACAAGUACAAGCUACUUGUUAGAUUCCUUCUCGCUUUGAAUUGAUGCUGACCUCAUCAGGGUCCCUGCUCCAGCUGCCAGCAGAGGUGAGAUGCUUACGACGCAUGGCUCAAAAGCACCUGAUGCAGCAGAGACCGAUGGUCCACUGUACAACACCAAAUGUCAUGAAUGACUCUUGACCCAGUCUCAGAAAGGUUGUGCUUCCUUUCCCAUCCCGGAGGAUUGCCGGUGAGGUUUGAAAAGAAGGAUUUCUGUGAGUGUAAGCACCCAAGCUGAAGUGGAAGUGACCAUGCAGAAUCUUCAGCUGUGAGAGGACAGGCCUUGCAACUUGGUCCACCUGAGAAAAACAAGAACUUGCCCUCAUCAUCAGCUGGACUCUGCAGAGCUGCUCUGUGACCAAGAACAGAAUUGUGGGCAGUUUUACUUCAUCUCUGUGGUCUUUAAUUUAUGUUGGAUAGAGCAAUGCAUUGCCAUUUGCUUGCCAGGUUGUUAAGACUUCUACCUGCAGUGUCAAAAGCUCUUUGUAAGGUUUUCCAUCUCUUUUUGCUCUAAUACUAGAUAUCAGGACAAUCUGGAAAGUUGUGUUUAAAUGUCCAGCUGCAUUUCCAGGACUGGUGAAAUCUGACAGGCACUUCCUAACAUGAAGCAAACACAUAAGCAAGCAGAAGCAAAGUAUCAUACUCAGAUAUGAGCGGAUUUAUUGGAGAAGAAUCCAUGGUCUAGGCAGUUUGCUGGCAAAACUCAGGUAGACAUUUGGGAUUGCAGGAAGCUUUACCGUUUCCACAGCUCCAAAGUUAUAUCACAUUUCUGUAAUGCCAUACAGCUGCUGGAGGGCUGGUAGUGCUCUCAAAGAUGCUUUAACCUUGCAGGCAGCCGCAGACGGUAUUUUGCAGAACCAGCCUGUGAUAAUGUUUAAGCACAGACCACAGCAUGUGACGAAAUAACUGUUAGCAACUGCCUGAAGAAACCCAUUGAAAUAAGCAGCUGUUUAUUCUGAUGCUUAAUGAGGCAGCAGUUAGAGUGUUGCAAUUUUACACUUAACUGAAACAUUUUAGAGCUCUUGAAAGCAAAUUAAGGUAAACUGGGGUAACAUGAGUCUUGUGUUUAUUUAGAGCUUGCCUUGUGGAGCUCACAAGUGUGAGACUACCCGAGAGGGAGGAGGAGUUGAACCGCAAGACAGUAAAGCUUG